Molecule: ribosomal RNA, 253 nt
Filed under: uncultured bacterium
Lineage: Bacteria
Description: partial 16S ribosomal RNA
Rfam family: Bacterial small subunit ribosomal RNA
Source: RNAcentral
GACGGAGGAUGCAAGCGUUAUCCGGAAUGAUUGGGCGUAAAGCGUCCGCAGGUGGCAGUUCAAGUCUGCUGUCAAAGACCGGGGCUUAACUUCGGAAAGGCAGUGGAAACUGAACAGCUAGAGUAUGGUAGGGGCAGAGGGAAUUCCUGGUGUAGCGGUGAAAUGCGCAGAUAUCAGGAGGAACACCGGUGGCGAAGGCGGGUCUCUGGGCAGUAACUGACGCUGAGGAGCGAAAGCGUGGGGAGCGAACAGG